GACGAACGCUGGCGGCGUGCUUAACACAUGCAAGUCGAACGGGUCUGCCCUGUUUUUUGCGGGGUGGGUCAGUGGCGAACGGGUGAGUAACACGUGAGUAACCUGCCCCUCACUUCUGGAUAACCGCUUGAAAGGGUGGCUAAUACGGGGUGUUCUGGCUGUGCCGCAUGGUGUGGCUGGGAAAGAUUCACUUUUGUGGUGUUUUGGUGGGGGAUGGGCUCGCGGCCUAUCAGCUUGUUGGUGGGGUGAUGGCCUGCCAAGGCUUUGACGGGUAGCCGGCAUGGGAGGGUGGGCGGUCACACUGGGGCUGAGAUACGGCCCAGACUCCUGCGGGAGGCAGCAGUGGGGGGUAUUGGACAAUGGGCGGAAGACUGAUGCAGCGACGUCGCGUGAGGGAUGGAGGCCUUCGGGUUGUGAACCUCUUUCGCCGGUGAAGAAGGUCCUGCUUUUUGUGGUGGGGUUGACGGUAGCCGGGUUAUGAAGCGCCGGCUAACUACGUG
Molecule: ribosomal RNA, 500 nt
Filed under: uncultured bacterium
Lineage: Bacteria
Description: partial 16S ribosomal RNA
Rfam family: Bacterial small subunit ribosomal RNA
Source: RNAcentral